CAUAAGUUAUUGGAAGAAAGCAAAAUGCUUUGGCUAUUCAAAUUAGUUCGAAACUAGAAAGGAAUUUUUCCAUAUGUUAAGGGGAAUAUAAGGGUUAACUAGAAACCAAACAAUUUCUUGGUUGCUACAUACAAGAACGUAGAAACAAAUCUUAAAAGCUUGGUUAUGGUAUUUGCGCAGCCACGAAUGUAAAGCUACGUGAAAGGAACAAAUAAUUUGUUUGGCAUCCGGAAAGGAGAGAACGCAGCAGCAAAUCCAUGUUGUUCCAGGUCAUAUAACGCCACGUUGAGGAACUAAAUAGCUUUAUUACUAGGGUCAAGGGUUCAGUUUCAAGAAAACCUAUCAAGUUACCUAACUGACGAAGAAUGUAGAUUUUCAUGUGCCAAGAAUGAAUUGUUUGACCAUCCUUUGGCUUUGUUGGAGCAUAUGUUUGGAAUGAAAGGAAAUAUUGAGAUUGAUCGAAGAAAGUGGUACAGAUGGCUCGAGGCGGCGAGUUUGGAAUUUCGACACGAGUACUAGACAACAGUUGAAGGGCGAGGAUUUCGUUAGUCAGACGCACAAGUUGAUAGUUUCUGGUGAGCCCGGCAUUUGUUCGCGUGGGCGGAGAUUUAUUUAUUAUUAUGGUCUUUUCUUUGAACUCUUAGAGUCGCUCCAUAGUCAAAUUUUUAGUGUCUUGAGUAUUCUUCGUUAUUAUAGAUUUUUGUUGAGUAUCGCUCAUUCUUAUCAAAUUUGGAGAUAAAAUAGUAUUUCUAGUUGUUGGUGGGUGGACUAUUAAAGGUAGAUAUUUAAAUGAUUAAUUGAUAAGGUCAUUGUCAUUUGAA
Long non-coding RNA from Nicotiana attenuata, 821 nucleotides. RefSeq lists it as uncharacterized. The record is from RefSeq and is a predicted model, not a curated record. The transcript has 2 exons. Lineage: Eukaryota; Viridiplantae; Streptophyta; Magnoliopsida; Solanales; Solanaceae.